RNAcentral lists this ribosomal RNA (254 nucleotides) under uncultured bacterium. RNAcentral's name for it is "partial 16S ribosomal RNA". It matches the Rfam family "Bacterial small subunit ribosomal RNA", at positions 524 to 776 of the family's 1533-position model. The record is from RNAcentral.
UACGUAGGGUGCAAGCGUUGUCCGGAAUUAUUGGGCGUAAAGAGCUCGUAGGCGGUUUGUUGCGUCGGCUGUGAAAUCCCGAGGCUCAACCUCGGGUCUGCAGUCGAUACGAGCAAACUAGAGUGUUGCAGGGGGAGACUGGAAUUCCUGGUGUAGCGGUGAAAUGCGCAGAUAUCGGGAGGAACACCAGUGGCGAAGGCGGCACUCUGGGCCGGUACUGACGCUGAGGAGCGAAAGCGUGGGGAGCGAACAGG